UUACGCCUACGGGGGGCAGCAGUGGGGGAUAUUGGACAAUGGGGGAAACCCUGAUCCAGCGACGCCGCGUGAGUGAAGAAGUAUUUCGGUAUGUAAAGCUCUAUCAGCAGGGAAGAUAAUGACGGUACCUGACUAAGAAGCCCCGGCUAACUACGUGCCAGCAGCCGCGGUAAUACGUAGGGGGCAAGCGUUAUCCGGAUUUACUGGGUGUAAAGGGUGCGUAGGUGGCAGGGCAAGUAAGAUGCGAA
RNAcentral lists this ribosomal RNA (248 nucleotides) under uncultured bacterium. Its description in RNAcentral is "partial 16S ribosomal RNA". It matches the Rfam family "Bacterial small subunit ribosomal RNA", at positions 333 to 598 of the family's 1533-position model. The record is from RNAcentral.